RNAcentral lists this ribosomal RNA (851 nucleotides) under Leifsonia sp. RNAcentral describes it as "bacterial SSU rRNA". It matches the Rfam family "Bacterial small subunit ribosomal RNA", at positions 55 to 915 of the family's 1533-position model. Lineage: Bacteria; Bacillati; Actinomycetota; Actinomycetes; Micrococcales; Microbacteriaceae. The record is from RNAcentral.
AUGCAAGUCGAACGAUGAACCUGGAGCUUGCUCUGGGGGAUUAGUGGCGAACGGGUGAGUAACACGUGAGUAACCUGCCCUUGACUCUGGGAUAACCUCCGGAAACGGAAGCUAAUACCGGAUAUGACGUACGGAGGCAUCUCCUGUGCGUGGAAAGAAUUUCGGUCAAGGAUGGACUCGCGGCCUAUCAGGUAGUUGGUGAGGUAACGGCUCACCAAGCCUACGACGGGUAGCCGGCCUGAGAGGGUGACCGGCCACACUGGGACUGAGACACGGCCCAGACUCCUACGGGAGGCAGCAGUGGGGAAUAUUGCACAAUGGGCGCAAGCCUGAUGCAGCAACGCCGCGUGAGGGACGACGGCCUUCGGGUUGUAAACCUCUUUUAGUAGGGAAGAAGCGAAAGUGACGGUACCUGCAGAAAAAGCACCGGCUAACUACGUGCCAGCAGCCGCGGUAAUACGUAGGGUGCAAGCGUUGUCCGGAAUUAUUGGGCGUAAAGAGCUCGUAGGCGGUUUGUCGCGUCUGCUGUGAAAACCCGAGGCUCAACCUCGGGCCUGCAGUGGGUACGGGCAGACUAGAGUGCGGUAGGGGAGAAUGGAAUUCCUGGUGUAGCGGUGGAAUGCGCAGAUAUCAGGAGGAACACCGAUGGCGAAGGCAGUUCUCUGGGCCGUAACUGACGCUGAGGAGCGAAAGCGUGGGGAGCGAACAGGAUUAGAUACCCUGGUAGUCCACGCCGUAAACGUUGGGCGCUAGAUGUGGGGACCAUUCCACGGUUUCCGUGUCGCAGCUAACGCAUUAAGCGCCCCGCCUGGGGAGUACGGCCGCAAGGCUAAAACUCAAAGGAAUUGACA